RNAcentral lists this ribosomal RNA (471 nucleotides) under uncultured bacterium. Its description in RNAcentral is "bacterial SSU rRNA". It matches the Rfam family "Bacterial small subunit ribosomal RNA", at positions 56 to 512 of the family's 1533-position model. The record is from RNAcentral.
UGCAGUAGAACGCUGAAGGAGGAGCUUGCUUCUCUGGAUGAGUUGCGAACGGGUGAGUAACGCGUAGGUAACCUGCCUGGUAGCGGGGGAUAACUAUUGGAAACGAUAGCUAAUACCGCAUAAGAGUAGAUGUUGCAUGACAUUUGCUUAAAAGGUGCAAUUGCAUCACUACCAGAUGGACCUGCGUUGUAUUAGCUAGUUGGUGGGGUAACGGCUCACCAAGGCGACGAUACAUAGCCGACCUGAGAGGGUGAUCGGCCACACUGGGACUGAGACACGGCCCAGACUCCUACGGGAGGCAGCAGUAGGGAAUCUUCGGCAAUGGACGGAAGUCUGACCGAGCAACGCCGCGUGAGUGAAGAAGGUUUUCGGAUCGUAAAGCUCUGUUGUAAGAGAAGAACGAGUGUGAGAGUGGAAAGUUCACACUGUGACGGUAUCUUACCAGAAAGGGACGGCUAACUACGUGCCAGC